CGGCCCCUGCGACUCCUGGUGCCCGGCUGGGACACGUGGGGCCGGCUUUGCGGAGUCAGCAGGGCCAAGGUGCGCGGGGUGCGCUCCCCCCCGGAACCCCGCCCCUUCUCACCCCAUCUCGCUUUUUUGGGAGAGGAGAGUGGAGCCGUCAGCACCCACUGGCAGUGUCGGUGCUGUGCUGGGAGUCCUCCCAGACCAGCCCACUCCUCCUGGUUUGAGCUUCCGAUCCAUCCCUACUCCUUUACGGUUCUUCUUCCCCGUAGUUAACCUGCGGAGAGGAGGAGGUACUGUCUCCGCACAAGGUACUGCGGAGGUACCUUGCGGAGGAACCUUGCGGAGGAGGUACUGCGGUGGGGAGGCAGGGGGGAGGCGCAUCUGCCUCCGCACAAGGGGUCUAAUGGCUUGCUUAUUCCUUCUAGGCCAGGUUGAAAGGUUUUUAAAAGCAGGUGGGGGUGCCAGGAUAGUGAGAAAAACAAGAAAAGACACUGCUUUUUACCCCAUGCGGGGCAGAGCUGGUCUCCUUUCUGCAGGUGUUGAGGGGAGUUGAGUAGGAGCCCAGAGCUGGUACAGGCCCCGUUUAACGUGCCCCCGCAGAGUGAGGGCUGGGGGUCACCCCAUAGGCAGGGGAGCCCUUCUGGGAGGGAAUUCCUGCUUAGGUGGGAGGUUGACCUGAAUGACAUCUAGGUCCUCUACCUCCCAGAUGCCGAAUUUUCAGGGAAGGAACCAAAUGGAUGUAUGGCCCAUGCCUGGGUUUGAAUCCCAGUUCUGGCCUUCAUUCCUCCAGGCCUCCAUUUCCUUGUCUGCACUAUGGGGCCAUGGUGAGAACUCUGAAAUAACACCAACUGCCUGGUGCUUGGUAGGUGCCACAUUACAAAAGCGGUGGGAAGGAGGCCCUUUGGUUUCCAUGUCGGUGGUCAUGUCCCACAGUCCCCGUUGCCAUCCUGAUUAUGGAAAACUUCAUUUCAUGCUCCAAAUGUUCCUCAAUUCCUGGCACUGUUCUAGGUCCUGCACCCAGGCUGGUAUGAAAAAGGUGCCGAGAAGGUCCCAUGCAUCACCAGCCUGGAGGUAGCAGCAGAAGGGAAACCAGUGCCUCUGAGAGUGGGCAACUGUGCCCCAUCCACCUCCUCUUCUUCUUGGAGAUCUCAAGAUAAGACAAGAGACAUCAACCUGGGAUUGGGUUUCUGGGCAGAGAGUAAAAGUGAGCUCCUUCUGCCUGUGCACGCAGCUUCCCUCGGUACUGGGAUAGCCGAGAUCCCUUACUAGAAGCAGCUCACAAAACCUCCCCCAGUUACUGGGAUAGCCCAGACACCUUCCUAGGGCAGCAGCGGAAGAAAGAAGGGGACAAAAUACCAACGACCAGAAAGAAGAAAGAACUUAGCCUCAGUCACCAGCCACUGGGAGCUGAUAGUAACUGAAGGGAUGGAAAGCCCUCUGGGACAGUUUUAGUGGGAGCCCUCCAGAGCCUGGAGAGACUGCAGGUGGAGCAGGAAGGUGGGGAAGAAUUAGAGCAGUGACCCCGGCCACUUUUGGCCUCACGGUUCUGCACAAUGAGACAUUGCUCAUCUUCAGAGAACCGUGCCAUUCUGGCCAUCUGGCAUCCUAGACAAUUUUCCACUGUCUCUCAGUAUCCAGCCAUCCAGCCAUCUAGCCUCCUAACUACUUCUCUGUGCUGGUCCAGCCCAGUGCUCAGAGUUAGGAUAUUUUUAUGAAUAAAACAGACCUAGCUUCUGCCCUCGUGGAGCUUACAGCGUGGGGCGAAAGGAGACUGAUCAAAAUGCCACACACAUGUAAUUUACAACCUUGGGAAGUGCCAAGAAGGGGAAGUGUUGGGUGCCACUGAGAACAUUCACAGAGGUUAACCUGGGGCUGAGGUGGAGGAAAGGUCAGAUGGAAGCUGUCUAACCACCCUGGGCUUCUGGCUUAGGAUGUGUAGGGCUAGCAGCUCAGCCCAUGAGGUUGUGUCUUGAACUUGGGUAUUGAUGGAAUAGCUAUAGAAACAGAACAACCAUGAAGUGAAGAUGGUGAAUGAAGAUCCUCUCAUCAGCUUGCGAUUGCAUGACAGAGGAGGCUGCAAGGACACUCAGGUGUGAAGACGGGUGAGUUGCCAGUUCUGGAGUGCAGAUGUGGUUACCAGCAGCCUCUGUUUUGGAGGCUACUCUGAAGCCAUAUUCAGCUUGGGAGGCCUCCUGCAGGGUUGACCCAGUUCUGGAACAAACCAAGGUGUUUGGGUCUGAACCAGGGCCUGAGCAGAUCCCAUCCCAUAUCCAGCUGAACUGUCUCACCCAGUCUGCAUUGAGUAUCGGUCCCAAGUGGAGGCCACAGGAAGAAGUGCUGUUCCCUAGUGGUCUUAGAUGCUUCAUCAGCUAAAGCGUGGGGCUCAGUCUCCUGGUGUCCACCUGUAAAAUGAAAGUGGUGUCCCAGAGUCUCUCCAAAGCUCCUUGUGGUGACUCUAUGGUCCUAAGAAACCGUUCACUUUAUAGGCCUAUCUCAGUGCACAGCUGAUGCCUCUGAUGCAGGGGUGGCUGUGGCUGUGCUGCCGCUCCUAUGGGGGAGGCAUCCUGGCCAGCACGCUCUUUGCACCUGAUGACUCCCUACGGCAGCUGCACAGCACUGCAGUUAGAAGCCCAGGCCACGUGGAUUUCAGCCCCGGCCCUACCACUCAGUAGCUGUGUGACCCUGGGCCAGGUGUUUGACCUCCCAAGGCACCCAUUUCCUCAUGGAGGUAAUAAUAGUAUCUAUAACCUCAGUUUACCACACGGAUGAAAAGACAAUGCAUGUAAGGGUUCCUCCGCGGCACCUGGCUCAGUGAGCAAUCUGUAAUUGUGAGCUGUUGUCAUUAAGAGGCCGUGGGAACACUAGUCGGUGGUGUGUAUAUCCAGGGGUGGGUGUUGCUUCUGGCAUCUCUCCUAAAUUCAAGCUGAUGAUGAAAGUCAUCAGAGAGACAGAACAAAAUACCCCACAAGCUAUGACAAAAGGAACCUGUAUUUCAUAAAUCAGAGAAGAGUAAAGGACAGAGACCAAAGCCAAUAACUAGUGUUUAAACAUGCAGAGAGAAAGAGAGACAGAGAGAGAGAUGUUUCCUCUGCCUUCCACUACCAUGGGCAGGUGGGAAAUACCACCGACCCUGGGGACCCUGGGAUGGUCCCUGAGUGGGCCGUGUGCCAGGAGCCUGGCCAGAGAGCCAAGAGUGGUCAUGGCCCCCUGGGAGUUCUACUCUUUUCUAGGCAGCAGCAGUGACUGAGACCUUGUACACAAAACUCAUUCAUUCAAUCAGUAUUUAUCUAGGACUUCCAGAAACAGUGCUAAGCUGUGCUGGAGAGUGAUAGUAAAAAAGACACAGUCCCUACCAGCGAGAGACAUUGGGUCCAGCUGAUGAGUAAGACAAGCCAACAGAGUAGGGCAACAAGACCAGGAUCCCUUCGGGGCAUUACUGAGCACACGGCCUCGGUCUGGAAUUCUGGACACAUUCUUCACCUUAACUGGGGGUGCAUUGGGGAUUUAAAACCCCCAAGAGCCAGGGAUCUUUCCCACCCAAGCUAAUUUCUGGGCAGCUGUGCCACUGCAGGGCAUGCAGAAGGAAGAGAGCCUUCCAGAGGAAAGUCGCCUUGUUCCUUGCUUUGUGACCCUCAUCUCUGCGAGGUAGAGAAGAAAAGGAGGGCUCUUCCAUCGGGAGCUUCCAAGGUUCCGGGUGAGAGCUAGCCAGCUCUGCAUUUGGAGCAGAGAGAGCAGUCCAUUCAACAUGGCAAUGCCCACACCCACCUCACAAGGCAUGGAUGACACAAAGAGAUGGCUUGCCUGCAAGAGACCCAGCUGGUCUGGAGUUGGAGGCACACUUCAUUUCUCUGCCCAGCUCGGCAGGCGGCUGGAGCAAACCAGGAGAUCGCCUCAAAUGUUUUAAAUGUCAAUAUGGUCCCUUCUUGCUGGCUUGCCAAGAUUUGACCAGCUAAAUUGGCCUGUGUGGUGUGUUCCCUGCAGUGCACGAUGAGAUAAAAAUGACUGGGCAUCCAGAUUAAUGACUGGAUCACAUGCAGGAACGUACUGGCUGUGAGCAGCCCUGGGCCAGGGCAGAGGUGAACUUGACAAUCAUGUGGACGCUGGCUUUUGAUUACUGCUUCUUCUGGGCUCACGCUACCCAGGGCUCUCUUUAGACCAUCUCUAGGUGAACUUUCUGCCCCAGGAAUGAUCACCUCCAUUUUACUGGUGAGAGGUUCAAGGACUUCCCUUCCUUCUUUCCUCCCUUCCCCUUCUCUCCACUUCCUUCUCCUUCCCUCCUACAUCAUUUUUCCCUUUCCUUUCUUCCUCCCUUCCUUUAGCAAAUAGCCCUGGAGCAGCUGACCGGUUCUAGGAGCUGAGAACAGGGUGAUGGGUAAGAGGGACAAGGGCUUGCUCUCACGGUGUUUACAUUCUAGUGGGGGCAGGAGACAAGUCAACAGAUCAAUAAUUUCAGAUAAGAACAGCUGCUCUAAGAAGAACAACUGGGGAGUGAGAUGCAGUCCACUUUAGGCCGGUGGUUGGGGACGGCUUCUCUUGAGAGGUGGCAUUUAGGGGACUAAAUGGUAACAAUGAGCUGGCCUUGGGCAGGUCUGGGGGCAGAGCCAUCAGUGCCAGGGCACAGAGCUAGGAAAUGCAGAGCAGCUGGUACCCACGACUGGUCUUGCCUGAACCCCUAAUCCUUGCUCUUUCUGCCACAUCCUGCUUUCCCACUUGGCCAAAGAAUUGUGGUUGGCCAAAGGUGGGGCUAAGCUGUGCAGUGGGAGGGGCCAGGCUGAGCUGGAGGUGGCCAGGAGCCUCCUGGUACAGGGCCCUGGUGCCAGUGUCCUCACCCUCCCAGAAUCCUGUUCAUUUGUGUUGAGGACAUGGGGUGAAGGAUCUGAAAAUGCAUGCGCAGGCAGACGACCCACCCAGGCCAUUCACAGCCGCAGCAGUUUGGGACUCUCCGCUUGGCCCAGGUAGGGAGGCACUUGCGGUCCUUCCCAGGCCUGCCGUGAGGCUCCAGGGCCAGCGCCUAUCCCCAGCCCCAAGGAGGCACUCCGAAGAACCUAUUUUAAAUCUCAGCUCAGCAUUUUUGGCCAACUUACAGAGAAGCUGCAAGAUGAGUAAAGGAACUUGCCUAUAUUUUUUAUCUAGAUUUACCAGUUGUUGACAUUUGCCCAUCUGCUUUGUCAUUGGUGCUCUCUCUAUUCUGUGUGUGUGUGUGUGUGUGUGUGUGUGUGUGUGUGUGUGUGUGUGUGUUUGUGUUUGUU
RNAcentral lists this long non-coding RNA (5243 nucleotides) under Homo sapiens (human). RNAcentral's name for it is "HSALNT0392017". Lineage: Eukaryota; Metazoa; Chordata; Mammalia; Primates; Hominidae. The record is from RNAcentral.